AUGAAAUAAAUGUCAAAAAAAAAAUUUUAAAAAAUUAAUAAUUUUUUAAAAUUCGAUUUCAAUAGCAAAAUUUCCAGUUAAAAUGUAUUCAAAUACAGCUCCUUGCAGACCAUCAUUAUUACUACGUUGCAAGUCGCCUCCGUGCAGUUGUGAAAAGUGCCAGGAUAUUCGCAGAAGAAAAACCAAUGAUAUUUGUUUAGAAAACUGUAUAAGCUGUCCCGAUCUCUUGGAUUCUGAGUCGAGUUGUGACAGUUUGGGAGCUAGAUCGGCUUCUAAAUCUCCUCCAGUCAAUAUCUAUUCAGCCUUAUUUGAUGUUUUUGGAAUAACUGCAUUUGUUAUAAUGACGGCCCUGACAUUUUGGGCAACGGUCUGCUAUUAUUUGUGGAACUUUGCGGUGUAUAUUUAUCAAUCGGGAAGAAAGGCCCAAAUAAUCACCCUGGCUCUACUAUCGAUUAUUCUCAUUGGCAUUGUAUACCAUGGCAUUAAGGGUCAUAAUAAGCGAGUAACUCAUCUGGAAAUACCAAACAAUGCGACCACCGACAUAAACUCUUCCGAAAGCUUUGUGAGUUUUAUGGGUCAAGAAAAUCCCAGGCAAAAAGGUGGCGCCGAAUUGCCACUCUGUAAACAUGGCAAGAAAUCUCCAACGGAUUGUGGCAGUAACAAAUCAUCCACUUCCUUGUGUGACCUCUGCUCAAAAUAUUACAAAAAAUCUUCGGUGGAGAAGAAAAGUUCAAUGUCCGAUGCACAAGCUCGUCAAAUGUUUGAGAAAUUCAAAUUUUAUAGCAUUCCAAGUGAAUGGAAAUCCCCACCAGCAUUUGUGGUUUUCCUUGUGGACUAUUUGGCCAGUCUGUUUGGCAAUCCUUCUGGGGGAAGUGAUAAUCAUGUGAAUUGAAAUUUUUUAAUUUCCCGUUGUUGCUUGGCUUUUUUUCGAAUCUAACGUUGUGUUCACAUCCAGCUCCAUUGUCUAACUGACCAUAUUUUCCACAAAACAGCAACUAACUCUCAAUUAGCCACUAACCGUUAUGUUGCAUGCAACAUGCUUCUUCCUCUUUGGUGAAAUUCAAGUUUCUGUGGCUAAUCUUGUUCUUGGUGGCCGUAUAUAAAAUUAGAUGUGAUUUUCCCAUAGAGAAUACUCUAUAAUGGGUAAUAGAAGACUAAGAGAAAAAUUAAAC
This is an RNA transcript of Musca domestica (house fly), 1172 nucleotides long. RefSeq lists it as uncharacterized. NCBI's taxonomy places the organism in Eukaryota, Metazoa, Arthropoda, Insecta, Diptera, Muscidae. The transcript is spliced from 5 exons. The record is from RefSeq and is a predicted model, not a curated record.